Molecule: ribosomal RNA, 442 nt
Filed under: uncultured bacterium
Lineage: Bacteria
Description: partial 16S ribosomal RNA
Rfam family: Bacterial small subunit ribosomal RNA
Source: RNAcentral
CCUACGGGAGGCAGCAGUGGGGAAUAUUGGGCAAUGGGCGCAAGCCUGACCCAGCAACGCCGCGUGAAGGAAGAAGGCUUUCGGGUUGUAAACUUCUUUUAAGAGGGAAGAGCAGAAGACGGUACCUCUUGAAUAAGCCACGGCUAACUACGUGCCAGCAGCCGCGGUAAUACGUAGGUGGCAAGCGUUGUCCGGAUUUACUGGGUGUAAAGGGCGUGCAGCCGGGAAGAAAAGGUAGAUGUGAAAUCCCGCGGCUCAACCGCGGAACUGCAUUUGAAACUGUUUUUCUUGAGUACCGGAGAGGUCAUCGGAAUGCCUUGUGUAGCGGUGAAAUGCGUAGAUAUAAGGAAGAACACCAGUGGCGAAGGCAGAUGACUGGACGGCAACUGACGGUGAGGCGCGAAAGCGUGGGGAGCAAACAGGAUUAGAUACCCUAGUAGUC